GACCUUCUUUUUUUUUUUUGUAGAUUUAUUUUUAUUCAGAAAUACUUUCAUAUUCUCUAACUGUUCAUCAAAAGUUUAAAAAUUCAAAAGGGACACAAAAAAAUUACAUGGGUCUUAGAAGCUAUGUCAAACAUGUGAGUUUUAAGAGUGACAUUUUAUACAGUGUAAUUUAGCCCUCAUAAUUUUCUUAUAAUCAAAUUAUAACAGGAACACAAACAUACCAUAUAUUACUCUUUAAAAUUUUUGUUUUACAAUAUGUUCUUGUCAAUGGGACACUUCAAAAUGUUUAAACCUGACAGAAAAGCAUUAAAAAAAAAAAAAAAGUACCAAUGGAAGAAAAAAGUGUCAGAAACACACCUGUCCUUUACCUGGUGUGAAGAUGGGAACCACUGCAAUAAAAAAACUCUGAAUCCAUUCUCCUGGGGAGCACGCUCUGAACAUCCACACUUGGGUCUAUUGUUCUUUAAAAUCAUUUCAGACUUAAAAUCAAUUCUUUGUUACCAAGUGAGAAAGAGGCCCACUUUCAAUAUUCACUUUCAUUGAUGCCGUCUGCAUUUCCUCUUAAGCAGUUGGUUUCUGGGACAGAGUUAGGCAGGGACACGCUGUUUGAAGGAUACCCAGUCUCACAGCUAACCACAGACUCAGUGGUGAAAACAGUGAGCAGAACCGCUUUAGGAGUGAACCCGGGCAUCGGAACCGUCCCUCGGAUACUGUUCACUGGGGGAAAUUAACCCUGGGUUUGACGUUUGGGAAGCUUGACGGGUUGGAGAAGCGGCCUCCGGAAGGAAGAGAGGGCUCCUCAGCUAAACGUGCGGGCAGUCCUCCAUCACCUCCUUGGCCCCGAGGGACGAGCCCUUCGCAAUCCCCCUGCCCACGGGGAGGGGCCUAAAAGGGGUCUGGGGGGCUCAGAGGAGGGGGAGCCCGAGACGCCCGCAGGGGUGAAGCUAGAGGAGUGAGGCGAGGAAACCCCGGGACAUCCUGGACACCACAGUCAUCUCCCAUGGCCCCACAGGUCUGGGCUGUGGUUUGGGAAGAAGAGAAAGAGUUGUAGGUGGAAGAACUUCAAGGAAACAGAGGGAGCUGUUACCCGUGACAGGCCCUGAGUCUCCCGGGGGGUGCCUACGGUGUGUGUGGUGGGGGGGGGGGGGUCACCCACUCUUCCCGAACCCCGCUCCGCCGGCGGCUCAGUGUGAGUGCAAGUGACACUGCAUGCUUUGUAAAGACCAAGGCAACUUGCAUUUACCGUCCUGCGCUUCCUCUGCAUGUAAUCUCCUCCUAGUCAUCCUCUGUACUCUUACCCCUGAUCCCUUCCAAAACACUUUCAAUAUGUCUGCUGUUACGUACUGUUUCACCUAUAAAGCAACAUAUAUAUUAAAAACAGAUUUGUUUG
This is a long non-coding RNA of Bubalus bubalis (water buffalo), 1390 nucleotides long. RefSeq lists it as uncharacterized. The record is from RefSeq and is a predicted model, not a curated record. The transcript has 2 exons. Lineage: Eukaryota; Metazoa; Chordata; Mammalia; Artiodactyla; Bovidae.